UACGUAGGGGGCGAGCGUUGUCCGGAUUUAUUGGGCGUAAAGGGCUUGUAGGUGGCCACGCGAAGUCGGCUGUGAAAUCUCCCGGCUCAACUGGGAGGGGUCAUUCGAUACUGGCGGGCUCGAGGCCGGUAGGGGGAAGCGGAAUUCCCGGUGUAGUGGUGGAAUGCGUAGAUAUCAGGAGGAACACCGAUGGCGAAGGCAGGUCUCUGGGCCAUUACUGACACUGAGAAGCGAAAGCAUGGGGAGCGAACAGG
Molecule: ribosomal RNA, 254 nt
Filed under: uncultured bacterium
Lineage: Bacteria
Description: partial 16S ribosomal RNA
Rfam family: Bacterial small subunit ribosomal RNA
Source: RNAcentral